RNAcentral lists this long non-coding RNA (783 nucleotides) under Homo sapiens (human). RNAcentral describes it as "non-protein coding SRD5A3-AS1:29". Lineage: Eukaryota; Metazoa; Chordata; Mammalia; Primates; Hominidae. The record is from RNAcentral.
AUUGGAUCCGGCGCUCCCGGCAGGCCUACAGAAUUGGGCAUGAAACAGCAAAGGAUGGCCUCUGCUUCCACCACCAUCAGAAAUGUUAUAUUUUCACCAGUGCACCAUAAUGUAGCAGUCUCUCCAUAAUGUAGCAGGUGAGGUAUCACCUGGAGUUCUUCGUCUCAUGACCAAGAAAAUUAAGGAGCGUGGAUGCAAAGGAUGAAGUUGCAGCGAAAGUUUAAUAAGCAAAAGAAGAAAGCUCUCCACAGUGGAGAGGGGACCUGGAGGAGGGUUGCUGCUUUUACAGGUGACUGCAAAGGCUUUUAUAAGAACCGGUGAGGGCUGGGCAUCUCAUUUGCAUAAGGCAUGAAUUUCUGGUAGCUCCACCUCAUCCUUCUAGUGUGCAUGUGGGCCCUUAGCUUAAGUUUUAUUCCAUAUUGCUUUUUUCCCCUUACUGCGCAUGUGUCAGGGGAUGGAAUUUUCCACUGCAGAAGUAUCUGGGCAAGUCAUCUGGGUAGGCUUUCAUAUCUGUGUGGCUGUGGGAAUGUCUUAGUCAAGGCCACCUGUGCAGAUCCCCUUAUCUGUGCCUGCAGCUUGAUUUUUCAGGCUGUUCUUUUGUUUGAAAGAAUUUAACCAAGGACCCACCCUAACUGAUGCCUGAAAGGUUUCUUCCUUUCUCCUCUCUCAGUAUCUUCCCUUGUGGACUACACCAGUGUCGAAAUGUUCUUGCUAAAAAUGAUGCAGGGAGAAAGACAAAGUUACAAAGUUGGCAUCCACAAUUUUUCCAUCUUGCCCCACUUC